GAUGAAGAACGUAGCGAAAUGCGAUACGUAAUGUGAAUUGCAGAAUUCAGUGAAUCAUCGAAUCUUUGAACGCACAUUGCGCCCUUUGGUAUUCCUUAGGGCAUGCCUGUUCGAGCGUCAUUUAAACCUUCAAGCUAAGCUUGGUGUUGGGUGACUGUCCGCUUCACUGCGGACUCGCCUCAAAAUUAUUGGCGGCCGGUACAUUGGCUUCGAGCGCAGCAGAAACGCGAACUCGGGCCCGUCGUAUUGGCUCCCAGAAGCUAUCUUCACAAUUUUGACCUCGGAUCAGGUAGGGAUACCCGCUGAACUUAAGCAUAUCAAUAAGCGGAGGA
Molecule: unclassified non-coding RNA, 332 nt
Filed under: soil metagenome
Description: partial contains 5.8S ribosomal RNA, internal transcribed spacer 2, and large subunit ribosomal RNA
Rfam family: 5.8S ribosomal RNA (bases 1-120)
Source: RNAcentral